UUACGGCCAAAUCACGUUGAAACACUGGCUCCUGUACGAUCACCGAAGUUAAGCAACGUCGAGCCUGGUCAGUACCUACAUGAAUGACUGCUUGUCAACAUCAGAUGCUGUAAG
This is a non-coding RNA of Acanthosepion pharaonis, 114 nucleotides long. Lineage: Eukaryota; Metazoa; Mollusca; Cephalopoda; Sepiida; Sepiidae. The record is from the annotation of a GenBank genome assembly.